This 187-nucleotide long non-coding RNA is filed under the name Chinchilla lanigera (long-tailed chinchilla). RNAcentral describes it as "lncRNA (ENSCLAG00000026775.1)". The record is from RNAcentral. Lineage: Eukaryota; Metazoa; Chordata; Mammalia; Rodentia; Chinchillidae.
GCUGGGUGUGGUGGUGCAUGCCUGAAUCCCAGCACUUGGGAGGCUGAGGCAGGAGGAUCACUGCAAGUUCGAGACCAGCCUGGGCUACAAAGUGAGCUCAAGGCCAGCCUGAACUGCAUAGCGAGACCCUAUCUCAUAAAAAGACAAAAAAAAAAAAAAAAAAAAACAAACUAGGAUUAGAGGUCCC